CCAGACAGUUGGACGAUCGCUGUGUUCUUUAUAUGAACAUGGAGGAAAGUCCGGGCUCCAUGGGAAAACGGUACCGGCUAACAGCCGGCGGGGGUGACCCUAGGGAAAGUGCCACAGAAAACAAACCUCCCAUCGGGCUUCGGUCAUGGGUAAGGGCGAAACGGCGUGGUAAGAGCACACCGCAAAAUCGGCAACGAUUUUGGUCACGGUAAACCCUACCGGGAGCAAAACCGAAUAGGGACAACAGAUUAUCGCUUGAUAAUCGGGGGCUUCUCACCCCGUUGUCCGGGUUGGUUGCGUGAGGCUUGUAGCAAUACAAGUCCCAGAGGAAUGAUCGUCCCGUUUUUGACGGACAGAACCCGGCUUACAGACUGUCUGGCUCA
RNAcentral lists this RNase P RNA (383 nucleotides) under Swingsia samuiensis. Its description in RNAcentral is "Bacterial RNase P class A". It matches the Rfam family "Bacterial RNase P class A". Rfam says of the family: Ribonuclease P (RNase P) is a ubiquitous endoribonuclease, found in archaea, bacteria and eukarya as well as chloroplasts and mitochondria. Lineage: Bacteria; Pseudomonadati; Pseudomonadota; Alphaproteobacteria; Acetobacterales; Acetobacteraceae. The record is from Rfam by way of RNAcentral.